Molecule: long non-coding RNA, 633 nt
Organism: Astyanax mexicanus (Mexican tetra)
Lineage: Eukaryota; Metazoa; Chordata; Actinopteri; Characiformes; Acestrorhamphidae
Exons: 2
Source: RefSeq, a predicted model, not a curated record
CCUCCCCACCCCACCCCCUCACCCACCCAACCCCAUCAUAAACCCACCCCCACACCUGUUCUGCCUCAGGUAGGCCCGGUUUUUACUUUUCUGCACUCUGCAAUCCCCCCAAAACCAGUCCAUCUGAGCGGGGUUUCGUGGUAAAGCUAAAGAUUUUGCCGCCUUAUACCAGACUAAAGGCGUCUUAAGUGUCUUUUUUUGGUUUUGUUUAGUAUUUGUGUGAGUGUGUACUUGUGUGUGAGUGUUGUGUGUGUGCCGUGUGAAUGUGUGUGUGGUUUGAAAGCAGCAGUAUGUAGGCUGGUGGUUCUUUUUUUGGGAAUGUUGAUGUUUUUAUUUUUGUUCAGCCCCUCCGUGUGUGACGCUGUGAAUGCUUUCUGUGUUCCCCAUGAAUAACGGAGAGAAAGCAGCGCGAGGGCUGGCAGAUGCUUGCAGCCAACCCCCGUGCGGCGGCUUUGAAGAUGUGAGUUUGCCCCAAAAUCUCUUCAUCUGCUGCACAGGCCUAUAGCCACUGACUGGAGGUGUUCUGUGUGUCCAGCUAGGACACCAACGGGUCCGGUAACCACCUCAUGUGUCUCUUUCUGUAGACCAACACUUCUGUCUACUGUCAAAUCACAACCUUUUUACUGCUGUUUU